RNAcentral lists this ribosomal RNA (253 nucleotides) under uncultured bacterium. RNAcentral describes it as "partial 16S ribosomal RNA". It matches the Rfam family "Bacterial small subunit ribosomal RNA", at positions 524 to 776 of the family's 1533-position model. The record is from RNAcentral.
UACAGAGGGUGCAAGCGUUGUUCGGAAUUAUUGGGCGUAAAGGGCGCGUAGGCGGUGCGGUAAGUCUGUAGUGAAAUCUCUGGGCUCAACUCAGAGUCUGCUGCAGAAACUGCCGUGCUUGAGUGUGGGAGAGGUGAGUGGAAUUCCCGGUGUAGCGGUGAAAUGCGUAGAUAUCGUAAGGAAGACCAGUGGCGAAGGCGAGUUUCUGGACGGUAACUGACGCUGAGGCACGAAGGCCAGGGGAGCAAACGGG